Molecule: microRNA precursor, 86 nt
Filed under: Dipodomys ordii (Ord's kangaroo rat)
Lineage: Eukaryota; Metazoa; Chordata; Mammalia; Rodentia; Heteromyidae
Description: microRNA 335 (ENSDORG00000020084.2)
Rfam family: mir-335 microRNA precursor family
Source: RNAcentral
UCUUUUGGGCGGGGGUCAAGAGCAAUAACGAAAAAUGUUUGUCAUAAACCGUUUUUCAUUAUUGCUCCUGACCUCCUCUCAUUGCU